RNAcentral lists this ribosomal RNA (253 nucleotides) under uncultured bacterium. RNAcentral's name for it is "partial 16S ribosomal RNA". It matches the Rfam family "Bacterial small subunit ribosomal RNA", at positions 524 to 776 of the family's 1533-position model. The record is from RNAcentral.
GACAGAGGGGACAAGCGUUGCUCGGAAUCACUGGGCGUAAAGGGCGCGUAGGCGGGAUGGCAAGUCAGUCGUGAAAUCUCUCGGCUCAACCGAGAAACGUCGGCUGAUACUGCCGUUCUUGAGGGAUGCAGAGGAGACUGGAAUUCCCGGUGUAGCGGUGAAAUGUGUAGAGAUCGGGAGGAACACCGGUGGCGAAGGCGGGUCUCUGGGCAUUUCCUGACGCUGAGGCGCGAAAGCGUGGGGAGCAAACGGG